This 264-nucleotide ribosomal RNA is filed under the name uncultured archaeon. Its description in RNAcentral is "partial 16S ribosomal RNA". It matches the Rfam family "Archaeal small subunit ribosomal RNA", at positions 719 to 982 of the family's 1478-position model. The record is from RNAcentral.
AGUCACUGACAUUAGAUACCCGGGUAGUCCCAGCCGCAAACUAUGCGCGUUAGGUGUCCUGGUGACCACGCGUUACUGAUGCGCCGAAGAGAAAUCGUGAAACGCACCACCUGGGAAGUACGGUCGCAAGGCUGAAACUUAAAGGAAUUGGCGGGGAGCACCACAACAGGUGGAGCCUGCGGUUUAAUUGGAUUCAACGCCGGACAUCUCACCGGAUAAGACAGCUGAAUGAUUGUCAAUCUGAAGGUUUUACAUGACUAGCUG